UUCCGGUUGAUCCUGCCGGACCCUACUGCUAUCGGGAUGGGACUAAGACAUGCUAGUCGAGCGCCUCCUAGCCACGCUGGAGGCGCGGCACACAGCUCAGUAACACGUGGCUAACCUGCCCUUGGGACGGAAACAUCCCCGGGAAACUGGGGCCAAUUUCCGAUAGGCGAAGGUCUCUGGAACGAGUCUUCACCCAAAAGACGUUUGGGGCAUGCUCCUAGACGUUGCCCAAGGAUGGGGCCGCGGCCGAUCAGGUUGUUGGUGAGGUAACGGCUCACCAAGCCUAUUACCGGUACGGCCGUGGGAGCGGUAGCCCGGAGAUGGGCACUGAGACAAGGGCCCAGGCCCUACGGGGCGCAGCAGUCGCGAAAACUUCGCAAUAAGCGAAACUUGACGAGGCCAUCCCGAGUGCCAUCUGCUGAGGAUGGCUUUUACCUAGUAUAGAUAGCUAGGGGAAUAAGGAGAGGGCAAGUCUGGUGUCAGCCGCCGCGGUAAUACCAGCUCUCCGAGUUGUGGGGACAUUUAUUGGGCCUAAAGCAUCCGUAGCCGGCUGAACAAGUCCCCUGUUAAAUCCAGCGACGAAUCGUUGGCCUGCGGGGGAUACUGUUCGGCUAGGGGGCGGGAGAGGCCGUCGGUAUUCUUGGGGUAGGGGUGAAAUCCUAUAAUCCCAGGAGGACCACCAGUGGCGAAGGCUGUCGGCUAGAACGCGCCCGACGGUGAGGGAUGAAAGCUGGGGGAGCGAACCGGAUUAGAUACCCGGGUAGUCCCAGCUGUAAACGAUGCAGGCUAGGUGUUAGGGCGGCUACGUGCCGCUCUAGUGCCGCAGGGAAGCUGUUAAGCCUGCCGCCUGGGGAGUACGGCCGCAAGCGUGAAACUUAAAGGAAUUGGCGGG
This 892-nucleotide ribosomal RNA is filed under the name uncultured crenarchaeote VAL42. RNAcentral's name for it is "bacterial SSU rRNA". It matches the Rfam family "Archaeal small subunit ribosomal RNA", at positions 1 to 872 of the family's 1478-position model. The record is from RNAcentral. Lineage: Archaea; Thermoproteati; Thermoproteota.